RNAcentral lists this unclassified non-coding RNA (1876 nucleotides) under Caenorhabditis elegans. RNAcentral describes it as "Non-coding transcript of protein-coding gene K09C6.8b". The record is from RNAcentral. Lineage: Eukaryota; Metazoa; Nematoda; Chromadorea; Rhabditida; Rhabditidae.
AUGGGACUGACUGUAUGGAGAAACUGUGAUAUGAAGCAGAAGCCGCAUUCGAUCCCGACAAAAAGAGUGAUAUGGCAGGCUCCGGGGAAGACUGGUUGGAAACGUGUCACUUAUGAGAAUAAGUUCCCGGUCGUGCAAACAUUAAAUUCUGUCGAGAUUGAAAGCAACUUCAAACACAUCAGUAAAGGCACAAAGGUCAUGUUGGGAAAUUUUCCAAUGACUCCCAAAGACGAUGUGAUUGGCAACAUGGGAAUGGUUGUAUGUCGAUAUUUGGCUUUAAAUCAGUACCAUCAGACCAUAUAUCAUUUUCACUUUCGUGCGGCAAUCAAUUUCGACAGUGCCGGAUCCAAGGAAGCGCAAAUCCUGUCCAAGCUGAACAUGAACCGCUCACAUAACGCGAUGCGUGUCAUGAGAUACGGCCAGUACCUAAACUUGCAAUACAUAUUAACACAGGAGCUGAGCUCGGACUUGGGAUUCAUCGUACAAAAUACGACACUUGACCUCUUCUCGUCUGUGCAUCUUAUCCAGCAAACAUUCUACUGCAUCAGCGAUCUCCACAAGAUUGGCUACACCCAUCUCGACAUCCGCCCCUCCUCGUUCUCUCUUCUCAGAAACAACAAAGCAGUCGUCGUGCUCAAUAGUUUCUUCAACUCCGAAACGCGUCAAAACAUCAGUCGUAACAUUCGUACAACGAAGCACAAUGGGCUGCAGCCUCUUUACGUUCAACAGGCCCGACAUGCCCGUAACAAAUCGGAGCGAGAGCCACUGCCGAAGAACGUCAUCAACACGUACAUGUCGAGGCGUCAACAUUUCCGAUUGGCACGAGGACCUGCCGACGACUACGAGUCGUGGUUUUACAUUUGUGCACGGUUUAUCACUCUGGUGAGGAUUUUGAGGGAGUGGCCAUGUUUUGUGAAUUUUGAAUUUUUUUCGGCACUAGUGCGAGGCAGACACGUAUGCAGGAAUGUAGCUUACUAUUAGGCUUAGGCUUUGGCUUGGGAUUGUCUCUGGUCUAUAUUACGCAAAUCCUGUCCAAGCUGAACAAAAACCGCUCACAUAACGCGAUGCGUGUCAUGAAAUACGGCCAGUACCUAAACUUGCAAUACAUAUUGACACAGGAGCUGUCCUCGGAUUUGGGAUUCAUCGUACAAAAUACUAAACUUGAUCUCUACUCGGCCGUGCAUCUUAUCCAGCAAACAUUCUACUGCAUCAGUGAUCUCCACAAGAUUGGCUACACCCAUCUCGACAUACGUCCCUCCUCGUUCUCUCUUCUCAGAAACAACAAAGCAGUCGUGGUGCUCAAUAACUUCUUCAACUCCGAAACGCGUCAAAACAUCAGUCGUAACAUUCGUACAACGAAGCACAAUGGGCUGCAGCCUCUUUACGUUCAACAGUCCCGACAUGCCCGUAACAAAUCGGAGCGAGAGCCACUGUCGAAGAACGUCAUCAACACGUAUUUGUCGAGGCGUCAGCAUUUCCGAUUGGCACGAGGACCUGCCGACGAUUACGAGUCGUGGUUUUACAUUUGUGCACGGUUUAUCACGCUGGAAACCUUCGAAUGGCACGAUGAGGAGGAUCACAUAGUGGCGGCAACAAUGAAGUACAACUAUCUGGCCACGUGCACGUUUCCGGACCCAGAUACUAAUGAGAGGAUGGCAAAGAUUCUACAGUACUGUCUGUCUGCGACGAAUACGAACGCCAAUGUAGUCGCGUUUUAUCUCGAACGCGUCAUUCAGAACUGGAAAGAAAACAUUCCGCCAAAGGAGUUCUAUUCGUGGCAGGACACGGACUCCGUUAAUACUAAGCACGAGGCCUGGAUGGAAAGAAACAAGACAUGGUACGCACCGAGAAAGCCCAGAUGUGCCGAGUAUUGAGG